Molecule: long non-coding RNA, 365 nt
Filed under: Callithrix jacchus (white-tufted-ear marmoset)
Lineage: Eukaryota; Metazoa; Chordata; Mammalia; Primates; Cebidae
Description: lncRNA (ENSCJAG00000074298.1)
Source: RNAcentral
GAACUGGGUGGCCAGGACAGCUGUUUCUGAGCUCUGAGAAGUUAAACAUGGCCAAGGAUUCAUGGUGUGCAGCUUUGGAAAUCUAGUCAGAGGCUCCCAUUGACAGCCUCUGGGAAGCUGUUUGGAUAAACUGCUCUGGGUCACGCAUUGGUUUCCCACAUCUGCUCCCCCAGUGACGUCCCAGUGCUAAUUUCUGGUGAAGGAGGGAAAAGACCGCCUGUGCCCAGAAUGUCACUCUUCAGAAGAUCACUGAUGAUUUCUACAAUACUUUUGCAGAACAAUUAACCCUCUACUUACUGGUGACUUAGUGAGAGUUUGUGUAUUUGGAUCCCUGAAUUUUUCUGGGUAAGUCAGCCUUUAAUUUA